Molecule: long non-coding RNA, 891 nt
Organism: Saccostrea echinata
Lineage: Eukaryota; Metazoa; Mollusca; Bivalvia; Ostreida; Ostreidae
Exons: 4
Source: RefSeq, a predicted model, not a curated record
GCAGGGGAAACGUUCAGUCUGCCUGGGUUAUAUAUAGGUAGAUUCAUUGAUUUCGGAUCAGAAAAUUAUCAAUGUUCAUGGAUUCCCAGAACACAGCAGGGAGAAGUUUAUGUUAUGAACAUUUCUUAGCAACAAACCCUGUAAGAAGAAGGACCUCUGUUCUACAGCUUGUGGUGGAUUAUAGAACACAUGAUAUCAACCAAGUUUAAAGGAAGCAUGUAUAGCCACAUUAGAAAGAUUUAAGGAUUGUGAGAAACCAAAUAUGACAAAUCAGAAUAAAUUCCAUGGGAGUGUGAAAAAAGAGAAUAGUAGAGUGUAAUCCUCAGGACUUUCUUCAGACUUCCAUAAAGUCAGGAAAUACUGUUGAACUGACAAAAUUAACAAAAAUCAUGAUUGUCAAAAAUUCAAGGAAGAUGUGCAAGUUAAGACUAAGACGGAUUUUAGGAGUUUUGAUGACAAAGAAUCAACCUUUGGAAAUAUGGCUUUAAACUUGGAUCUCUUUAUUGAUGCAUGCAUGAUGGUGGGCUGAAGAAGAAAACCAGGACAAAUGAAAAUUCCUAGUGUUCAUCAGAAAAAAUGAUCGAAUCAUGCAGCCAUUUUGAGUGCUUGAAUGCCCAACUGAGAGAGCCAGCCAAUGCGGAAAAUAUUUCUUGGAAGUUACACCAAAUCUGCUGUGACAAUUGAAUUAAAGCUUUAAAAGUACAUUUAAAAACAUACUGCCUUAAAAUUACAUUUGUAUAUGGUGUAAUUAUUUCAAGGAGAUACAACACACCUGGUUUAACAGUAAGGUCCAUAGCUAAACCUGGAUAUGGAAUUUAGCUCACCUGAUUCAAAGGCUCAAUUGCAAAGGUUCAAUCGCAAUUCUGAUAAAAAGAAGUCUUUGGUGUCCAA